CGACGGGUGAGUAACACGUAUGCAAUCCACCUGUAACAGGGGAUAACCCGGAGAAAUCCGGACUAAUACCCCAUAAUAUGGGCGCUCCGCAUGGAGAGUCCAUUAAAGAGAGCAAUCUUGGUUACAGACGAGCAUGCGCUCCACUAGCCAGUUGGCGGGGUAACGGCCCACCAAGGCGACGAUGGAUAGGGGUUCUGAGAGGAAGGUCCCCCACAUUGGAACUGAGACACGGUCCAA
RNAcentral lists this ribosomal RNA (237 nucleotides) under uncultured bacterium. Its description in RNAcentral is "partial 16S ribosomal RNA". It matches the Rfam family "Bacterial small subunit ribosomal RNA", at positions 102 to 334 of the family's 1533-position model. The record is from RNAcentral.